CCGCACCACCUCCUCCACCGCCGGCAUCACCUCCUCCAUCGCCGAGCACGAGCCUUGUCUCUCUUCCACCUCCACCGCCGGUCACAACCCCUCACUCACUACUGGCCAAGACCCCCUUCCGCCCCCACGCUCCACCAGACCCUAGAACAUGACCCGGCCGCCGCUGGUCACCUUCGCCACUGCCCUUACUCUUCCUCUUCCGCCUCCACGACCGGUCACAAACCCACAUCCACUGCCGGCCACAGACUCCCUCCCCUCCACCUCCCCUCCACCAAACCCGAGAAACAAGCCGUUGUCGCCUCCAUACUGCGCCGCUUCAAGUGCCUCGCUGCCACCACACUUCGCUGCUCCAAGGGCAUCUCCGACACCUCGCUGGACAUCUGCACGACACACUAAUGGGGAAGAAGAUUGCAGCGAAGAAAUCCUGAGGACGCAAGACAGCAGAACCACCACCUGUACAUCAUAUGGAUGAUUUGCGCCUCAGAAGAAUCAUAAGGAACAAUUCAAGGCUGCAAGCACUCGGAAUUCCUGCAUUAUCAACAUUGUUUGCAGCCAAAACUGUCAUUUCACCUGGAAAAAAAGGCCCAGCAAUAGUACCGAUGAAUCUGAAGCUGAGUACCAUCCUAAUGAGGACGAUACCAGUGAAGGAGAGUCGUCCGAUGGUAGUUUAGUACAUGAGACAGAAGCAUUGCAAGAAUUUAAGUCCACACCUGCUGCUAGCUCAAACUCCAAGGCUUGAAGGACUGUAAAAAAACAAGUCAGGAAUCUAGUAAGAAAAGAUCUGCUGCCAUGCCCCCUGGUGGAGUCAAGCCUCGGCCCGCUAAGAGAGUUCUCGCGGACAUCCCAACUAAUAUGCGAGUUACAAGGUCGAGGAAAGUACAAUCACAAAAUGCUGAUGCAAGUGCUCAAAAUGAAGAGAUGUAUGAUCCUAAACAGCAGACACCAAGUGUCAUUCAUAAGCCAAUUUCUUCUAUGGCUUGUGCCAGCCAAGCUGAAGAAUUUGUUCCCAACUUUGAUGACCAUUUUGUUGAAGAUGAUGACCUUGCACAUUGUGAUGACGGCAACUGGAUGGCCAAUGGAGCUGAUCUCAUUGCCCAUUGUGAUGAUGACAACCAGAGGGACAACGAAGCUGGUGGUAGUACCCAACCUCAUCAGCAAUCUCAACCUGACAGUAACUUUGAAGGUCCACAAUCCUAUGAGGAGCCAAGGGAAAGGGGGGCCCAAUUUGGGGAAAGGUCUGGAAAGGAUCACUCGACGCCGGCAGGGCAAACUGCUGCUUCUCAUUCCAGAAGGAAGCUUACGGCCAGAGACACCUCUUCUGGCUGCAAAGUAUGCAAUCGAAUGCAAUGUCACAGUCAGACACCAUAUGCCCGUGUUUAAGCACUGGAAGGAUUACAAGGACCCAAAUGGAAAUGUCAGAGAUGGGAUCGUCAGGAACUUUGUAGGCAAAGUUGGUAACAUGUUUCAGAUGGCCCUAGAGGCGGUGCCAGUUAGGAAGGCUUGCACAGAAAUGCUGAAACACGCGACUCGCCAACAACGAUAUAGGCUCAAGAAAGAGUAUUUUGAUCCUCAUGCACCCCAUUUGGUGAGGAGAACUUCUCCGGUCCCCUCGAUGACUGAUGACCAGUGGAACGAGCUAGUGGAAAGCUGGAAGGAUCCCAAAAAGACGGGGAUAUCUCAAAUUAACAAAGCUAAUCGAGCUCAAGUUAAGUUCCACCAAACUACUGGAGCGCACAGCUACCCUGUGCACUGUGGAAAUCUGGGAGAAAAAUACAAGGAUGAAGAACCAACAGCAGUGGAUUUGUUCAAGGAGUGCCACUACAGCAAGAAAAAGAAAGGUUACACCAAUGUUGUGCUGGAUGCAAUUACCGAGAUGGAAAAGAAGGUUCCUAAUCCUACAGAAGAUGGUUAGGAAUCAAGCUCUGCAACUGAGGCGGCAACCGAAGCUGUAGCUGAAGUGCUUGCUAAGCACACUAAGAAGCCGAGGUUUCUUCAGCAUGUGGGGAUCCAGCACAUCCAUGCGAGAUCCAGUGCUAUCAACCGUGAACUAGAAUUGGCAGCGCAGAAGAUGAAUGUUGAGCUUCGGGCGUGUGUUGACACCUUGACCAAGAAGUUGAAGGAAUCUGAAGAAGAAAGGGCCAGGCAAGAUGAGGAGUACAGGAAGCGAGACGAGGAGAACAGGAAGAAGCAAGCUGAGAUGGAUGCAAAACUAGACUUAUUGCUAAGUCAGAUGCCAUCAAGAUCAGCUGAAGGGUAAGGUGUUUGUCCAAAAAGCUGCUGGAAGCUAUAUGAAUGUGGGAUAUGCUGGUGGAACCUAGCUUGUUAUUUUGUCAGCCUUUUGUUAUGCAAACUGCAUACUGUUCGAUGCAAACUAGUUGCAUGUUGGUGCUUGAUGGUUAGUGGAUCUUGAGAUGUAGGCUGAAUGCUAUGGUGGAUGUGUCAUGGAGGAG
This 2450-nucleotide ribosomal RNA is filed under the name Triticum aestivum (bread wheat). RNAcentral describes it as "partial small subunit ribosomal RNA". The record is from RNAcentral. Lineage: Eukaryota; Viridiplantae; Streptophyta; Magnoliopsida; Poales; Poaceae.